Long non-coding RNA from Papaver somniferum (opium poppy), 2366 nucleotides. RefSeq lists it as uncharacterized. The record is from RefSeq and is a predicted model, not a curated record. NCBI's taxonomy places the organism in Eukaryota, Viridiplantae, Streptophyta, Magnoliopsida, Ranunculales, Papaveraceae. The transcript has 2 exons.
CUGCGGCUGAGUUCGUUGUCUGAAUCAGAAAGAGGGGUUUUGAGAGGUUGAGAUGAACAGGAAAUCAAGAUGGAAAGGAUGUACUGCUUCUCAAAUUACAGGAUGGAUCGAGAAGAAUAAGGAGUAACAGCUGCUGCUGUUGAUUUAAGGAGAAGAUUACAGUGAGGAGAUUCUGUGAUUCGUGAAGAUCGAACAAUUCAACGGUUCUUCUGGUGAAUGUUUUGAACUGUUGCUCAAGUGAUGGCAGUUGGUGGUGAUGAACUCAAGGAAGAAAAAGGGGAUUUGUGAUGUUAUGGAGCAGAUUGAGUGUUUCUGAGCUCGAAUUCAACCAGGAUUAGGUGGAGAAGAUGGCGAUUAGAGAAGAUUCAGAAGGAAUAGGUCGAAUUUGUAAUUGAUGGGUCUUGAGCGCUAGCUGGUGAUAGACGAUUCUGAGAUGGGUUUCCUGUCAAAGAGCUGCUGAUGAAUUUGAGAUAUGGAGGUGAAUCUGUUGCUGUUUCAAAAGGUGUUGUUGAUGAAUUGCAGACGAGAAUAAAAGAUGGAUUCAGAUUGCAGUUCAGGGUUUGUGUGAUGCCAUGGGAUCUGAAGCUGUUAUUGAGCAACAAGGGAGAGUAGUGAGCUGUGUUCUGAGAUGGAGAAUGGUCUUAUUAAGAAAUUUGGAGUAAAGCUGAGAUGGGUUUGCUGAUGUUGCAGUUGGUUCUGGUCAGAUGGGUUGGUAAUGCGAAUGCUUGAUUGCCAUGGAUUGAAGGUGGUUACAGUCAGGAGUUGGUGGUGCUGUUUAGGAGGAGGAGAAAACUGGUAGCUGUGAAGUAAUGCAGCUGAAACUGAGGUAUUGCAGCUGUGAAUGAGAGUAGCACAAGGAAGCUGAGGUAAUCGAGGUUAUGCUCAGUCUUGCACCUGCAAUGGACUGAGGCAAUGGCUGGUGCAGUUGUGCAAUAUAGCAGAGAUGAUGAGUUUCAGAUGGAAUUGAAGCAACAGGAUGAAGUGGCACCUGAGAAUUACAAGGGGUGGCAGGUGCAAUCUGAGAUGAAGAUUAAGAAAUGAUGGACUUGGAUGUUACAGGGAAGAGAGCAGUGGAUGAACCAGGAAAGGAGAUGUUGCAGGUGCUGCUGUGUACAAGGGACUGAGUUGCUUUUGCUAUGAGGAAGAGCUGGGACCUGAAUUCGUUGCUGGUGCCAUUGAUUGUGUUAGGCAAGGCAGGAGUGGUGAGAUGCGUCUGUAAUUGAGAAGGAGGUAUCUGUUGUGUUGAUGGAAUAGCUGCAAGUAGAUGGUGCUGAUCUGUGUUGAAAGGAACUGCGAGUAAAAGCAUUGCAGUUGUAGCUGAAGGCAUUGGUGGUGUUUGAGUCCACAUGGUUGAGCAUUUGAAUGAGUCAGGCGCAGUUGCAGAUGGAGUAUGUGUUGCGGUUGCAGGUGCAGGUGCAGGUAAUGGCAUUUCAGGUGGUGGAUUGUUGUUUGGCUUGCACUGUGGCUAGACAGGCAGAGAAAUUGCAGUUGGCUAUGUUUACAGCCAACAAGGAAGUGGUUGUAGGCUGAUUUCGGAAGCCGAGGAAGGACAGAAGUUACAGGCAAGUAUGAGAGGCAGUGCUACUGUUGUUGCAACAGAAGUGCAAUGCCGGGAAAGAGAAGUAGUGGUGGUUGAACUUGAAUGGAUUGUGCUGGUUUGUUGCAAGGAGUUGGCUUGAGCUGGGACAGUUGAAGCUGCUUACAGUCAGGAUGGUGGCAGAAAGUCAGGGGCGAUAUGAUUCAAGGAAAUGGAGUUGUUGGUGCAGCUGCAGUUGCAGGGAGAAUCUGGUGCUGUCAAGAAGGUGGGUUAUCAACUGGUGUUGUUGGUUGCUGCCAAAGGAAAGUGUAUCGCGGUUGUAAUUCAAAUGGUGGUGUUUGAGGCUUUGAGCUUAUGCAGUACAGCAUGGAGCUGAAUGAUUUCAAUAGAUGAAUGUUAGAAUAUUUAUAGGGUUGGAAUGGCCUGAAUUUGGCCGGGAAAACAUGCCAGAACAAUCGAAACUCGGUAGUAAUCGGUUCUGGCUGAGUCAACUCAGUGGGUUACCCGAGUUGACAGAGAAUGACUCGGACCUGUAUUGAACGGGUUAUAGCUGCUAAUGGGCUGGAAGAUGGUCAGGCCUUGGUCGAGAAAAUGGAACCUACUCACACAACAGGAGAAGCAUAUAAAUAGAAAACUCUUUCUCUAAACCUGGGGAUAUCUCUUUUAUUAUCUUCUUCUAUUUUUUGUUCUACGGUUAGAAACAGGAAAGUUUUUCUUUUUCUUCUUGUUAUGAACUCCAUGAAUAUGAGUACCUAGUUUUCUUUUGGUUAUGGAUUAGUUGGAUUUCACGUAACAUGGUUCUUUGAUUGAAUAUAUUAGUUUUAUAUCA